GGAAUAUUGGACAAUGGGGGAAACCCUGAUCCAGCAACGCCGCGUGGAGGAUGAAGGUCUUCGGAUCGUAAACUCCUGUCAGACGGGACGAAGGGCUGCGGGUGAAUAACUCGUAGUCUUGACGGUACUGUCAGAGGAAGCCCCGGCUAACUCCGUGCCAGCAGCCGCGGUAAUACGGAGGGGGCGAGCGUUAUUCGGAAUUAUGGGGCGUAAAGGGCGCGUAGGCGGCUCGAUAAGUCAAAGGUGAAAUCCCUCGGCUCAACUGAGGAACUGCCUUUGAAACUGUCGAGCUCGAGUCCGGGAGGGGGUAGCGGAAUUCCCAGUGUAGCGGUGAAAUGCGUAGAUAUUGGGAGGAACACCAGUGGCGAAGGCGGCUACCUGGACCGGAACUGACGCUGAUGCGCGAAAGCGUGGGUAGCAAAC
Molecule: ribosomal RNA, 423 nt
Filed under: uncultured bacterium
Lineage: Bacteria
Description: bacterial SSU rRNA
Rfam family: Bacterial small subunit ribosomal RNA
Source: RNAcentral